CAGUAGCCGCGGUAAUACGAAGGGGAGCUAGCGUUAUUCGGAAUUACUGGGCGUAAAGCGCACGUAGGCGGCUUUGUAAGUUAGAGGUGAAAGCCCAGAGCUCAACUCUGGAAUUGCCUUUAAGACUGCAUCGCUUGAAUCCAGGAGAGGUGAGUGGAAUUCCGAGUGUAGAGGUGAAAUUCGUAGAUAUUCGGAAGAACACCAGUGGCGAAGGCGGCUCACUGGACUGGUAUUGACGCUGAGGUGCGAAAGCGUGGGGAGCAAACAGGAUUAGAUACCCCGGUAGUCCCUGUCUCUUAUU
RNAcentral lists this ribosomal RNA (301 nucleotides) under uncultured bacterium. Its description in RNAcentral is "partial 16S ribosomal RNA". It matches the Rfam family "Bacterial small subunit ribosomal RNA", at positions 509 to 808 of the family's 1533-position model. The record is from RNAcentral.